AGGGGAUUAGCCAAGAGGCCAGGCACCGGAAUUUGAAUCCGGCAUACCAAGGUUCGAAUCCUUGAUCCCCUUCCA
This 75-nucleotide transfer RNA is filed under the name Undibacterium sp. YM2. RNAcentral's name for it is "tRNA-Gln". It matches the Rfam family "tRNA". Rfam says of the family: Transfer RNA (tRNA) molecules are approximately 80 nucleotides in length. Their secondary structure includes four short double-helical elements and three loops (D, anti-codon, and T loops). Lineage: Bacteria; Pseudomonadati; Pseudomonadota; Betaproteobacteria; Burkholderiales; Oxalobacteraceae. The record is from RNAcentral.